CUUCGAAAAAAAACGUGCAAA
Molecule: non-coding RNA, 21 nt
Filed under: Caenorhabditis elegans
Lineage: Eukaryota; Metazoa; Nematoda; Chromadorea; Rhabditida; Rhabditidae
Source: RNAcentral